Molecule: unclassified non-coding RNA, 2776 nt
Filed under: Hevea brasiliensis (rubber tree)
Lineage: Eukaryota; Viridiplantae; Streptophyta; Magnoliopsida; Malpighiales; Euphorbiaceae
Source: RNAcentral
UUAUUGCUUUCGAAUGGGUUUAAUAAUAGCAUAAAAUCCAAACAAUCAACCCUACAAUGUGAACACAAAAUAAAACAUAACACAGAGUGCUAAACUAGGAAAUCUGAAUAAAACUCUCUCACAAAGAGCUCUAUUGAAUAAUCCAUUGUCAAACUAUCUUUAAUAACCUUGAAUAAUACAAACUAGGAUGCCAGGUUGAUGUGUGGAAUUCCAUGCUUAAAAUGAUUAAACUCUAUGCUACCCUGAUCCUAUUGGAAUCUCUCAACCAUGUAUGUAAUAGAUCCUGAAUGCGAAGGAUACAAAUAAAACCCUUUAUAUUAACAGACCAAUACACAAGAAGUGAAAUUUUACAUAAGGUGCGGAUCAGACCAUCUUCUCUUCAACUCAGAUUUCCACCGAACUUCCUUGAGCAUCCCAUCCAAUCCAUAAUCCCUUUCCAUGACAAGGUUGAUUCCCUCGUCUGAGUACCACCCAACUCCAAUGCAAAGGAUACCAUCUUUGUUAACAUCAACAUAUCCUGUGACACCACCUGGCAGCCAAAGGACAGUCACAUCUUGCAUGUCUACCAUCUCUUCCUCCCCAAAGUAGUUUGGAUUUUCAGGCAAGCUCCUCUUUUUCAAGGUUUCUGUACAAAGGUAAACAUAUGGGGCACUAUUGCUAUCUUCAGUUGCCAUCUCAUCUCCAAAUACUGGAGUAGCAUUCACCUCAAAAACUUUCCACGACCCAGUCAGCUCUGAAGGCUGGGUACGUUUCCUCUGAGAAAAUGGCUUUAGAUCAAACUCCAGAUCACUGUUCACAUCAUAACAGGCGUAAAAUUAGUCUGCAGUAGAAGGCAUAAACUUUUCAUCUUUUUAGUUGGAAGGCAGGAAAACACACAUGAACGGACAAGGAAGAUGGAGAUAUUGAAGAUGGGAGACGUAUGAUAAUAAGCAGACGUGUGAAAGACUGAAAGUAAAAAAGCGAGAAGGAAAAUCCAUAACCGAGGGAAAUUGGAGAUAUUUUCCCUAUUUUACCCCUUUUUAACACUUUUAACCCAAAAGCCAAGGGGCAAUAGAAGAUGAAUAUAAACAAUUUUAUACUUGAAUAAUAGGACACAUAACUAUUGAGUGUUGUGAAACUGCAUUAAUAAAUGGGAAUAAAGCAUCAAGUACCUGUGAUCAUGGAUAUUUGCUGGACUGACCCACUGUUCUUCAUAAACAGCAACUCUCACUAUCUGUAUGUCUGAACCCCCAUUAUUGAAUUCUAUGGUAUGAACAAUACGGAGUCUUUUGUGGCAACCUUUGACCAAACACUAAGGAGGAAAACAUUAAGAAACCCAUAACCAUUUUUCCUAAUUUAAGAGAAGAAGCUGAAUAACAGGUCUGCCAAAUUAAAAAUGCUUCAUAGCACUAACAUGCCAUGCUGAACUUGUUCAAAUUUAGAAGUUGGAGUGAGAUAAUACUUGGAAUCAUCUACUUCACCAACCGGAAUAUUAACUGGACCCCGAGAAUACGAUCCAUCCUGACAAUCCAUUGACAAAAUCAGUCUGACCUCAUUGAUCAGAAAAGAACUAGUGAUAUAUAUCUGAAAUCAGUGGUUGCUAGUGAAGCAACCACUGAUUGAAACUAGACAAAUGAAAUUGUUUGAAGUAACUCCUCUACUAGCUCUCAAAUAAAAUGAUUGCUAGUAAAAAAUGUAUUCAUAAAAACAAGAAUAAACAAUUAAAAUAAGGAAACUCUCAUGGCAUUGGAAUAAAAAGCUAAGCUACACACAUACACACUCACAAUUCAGUUCUCUCGUCCCGGACGAGCUACAAUGUCAUCACUUUCUCCCAAUUUACAAUGUUAAUUGAGCUCUGCUCAGGUAGAUCAUACCUCAAAGAAAACAAGCCCUGGUUCAUUGCCCAUGGCAUCUUCUUCCAGCAAAUCACUCUUUUCAAAGUCAAAAGACUUGAAAUCAGGCAAAAUACGACUUGUACCAAGAUCACCCCUUUGGUUUGGAGGUAAAGACGCAUUGACAGUUUUGUCUUCUUCUUUGAUUCUAUUACUGCCUACAACAUGCUGCAGCACUGCGCCAUAAGGAUUUAAAGUCACCCAAUUUAUCUUCCUUUGGAUUUGCGAUAUCUGUCCUUCAGAUGGGGGUGACACUACUUCGAUGUGAGAAAGAGUAUAGCAGUCAUAUAAAUGUUCAUUCCUGCUUCCAAUGUCAAUGGGUUCCAUUUCUGCAGUGAUGGAUGAAAAUACUGCUCCCACCCCCUUCCAUAUCCCACUUACACUACUUGCAAAUGUAUUCCAUGCUGGUCUUAUUACAGGUUCCUGAGUUUGAAGAACAGUCUCAACCUCCAUUAGCAUAGCACCAGAGACCAUGAUUCUGCCAUCUCUGUUCCGCUUCCGUCUAACCACUCUCCUCCCUCUCCUCCUCGGCUUGGUUCUCCCCUUUUCUUUCUCCGCCGCGGAUUUCGCCAUAUCAUUGUCAAUGCUCCACACAUUUUCCUUUUUCCCCUUUACUUUCACUCCCUCUCUGGGACUUGCAUUUUGGCGGUGGCGGGGUUUGUUCUGGCAUUGGGUUGUGAGACUUUUAGAGUUUAGUUUUUGAAAAUUAAAGGCAAGUGAAAGAUUUCGGGUGGAAAGGGAUUUGAGGGUGUAGUGAAACCCCAGUCGAUGAUUGACGGUGAAAGAGGUCUUGCAGAGGUGGAGACAUGGCGACUGCAUCAUCUUUCAAGCUUUAAUCCAAAAUUAACAAAUUUCUGAGAUAAUAGAGAAAGUCAGAUAAUUGAGGCUCACUAUGUGGGUUGACG